CACGUAGGGGGCAAGCGUUGUCCGGAUUUAUUGGGCGUAAAGAGCUCGUAGGCGGUCUGUCGCGUCGGGAGUGAAAACUCAGGGCUUAACCCUGAGCCUGCUUCCGAUACGGGCAGACUAGAGGUAUGCAGGGGAGAACGGAAUUCCUGGUGUAGCGGUGAAAUGCGCAGAUAUCAGGAGGAACACCGGUGGCGAAGGCGGUUCUCUGGGCCGUAACUGACGCUGAGGAGCGAAAGCAUGGGGAGCGAACAGG
RNAcentral lists this ribosomal RNA (253 nucleotides) under uncultured bacterium. RNAcentral's name for it is "partial 16S ribosomal RNA". It matches the Rfam family "Bacterial small subunit ribosomal RNA", at positions 524 to 776 of the family's 1533-position model. The record is from RNAcentral.